This is a long non-coding RNA of Haliotis rubra (blacklip abalone), 78 nucleotides long. RefSeq lists it as uncharacterized. The record is from RefSeq and is a predicted model, not a curated record. The transcript has 3 exons. NCBI's taxonomy places the organism in Eukaryota, Metazoa, Mollusca, Gastropoda, Lepetellida, Haliotidae.
UAUGAUUUUAUUAGGCCAGACCAAUUUUAUUUCUUGUUUUACAGAUUUUUGUCCUAAGUAAACCUAAAGGCAGGUGGG